Molecule: ribosomal RNA, 2774 nt
Filed under: human gut metagenome
Description: bacterial LSU rRNA
Rfam family: Bacterial large subunit ribosomal RNA
Source: RNAcentral
AGGGCGUAUGGGGAAUGCCUAGGCACACUCCGGCGAAGAAGGACGCAGCAAACAGCGAAAUGCGACGGUGAGCGGUAAGCACGUGAAGAGCCGUCGAUAUCCGAAUGGGGGAACCCACACGGAGUCAUAUCCGUGUAUCACAUGUCGAAUACAUAGACAUGAUGAGGCGAGACGCAGGGAACUGAAACAUCUAAGUACCUGCAGGAAGAGAAAAUAAGAAUGAUUUUCUGAGUAGCGGCGAGCGAAAGGGAAAGAGCCCAAACCGAUCUGAGGAUCGGGGUAGUAGGAUCAUCGAUAAAUCAAACAGAGGAUCAUAGAGGAAUCACAUGGGAAGGUGAGCGAGAGAGGGUGAGAGCCCCGUACUCGAAAUGAGAGACUGGAGAGAGAUGACACCUGAGUAGGGCGGGACACGAGAAAUCCUGUCUGAAUCAGCCGGGACCAUCCGGCAAGGCUAAAUACGAGAGAGUGACCGAUAGUGAACCAGUACCGUGAGGGAAAGGUGAAAAGAACCCCGGGAGGGGAGUGAAAGAGAACCUGAAACCAUAUGCCUACAAGAAGUCAGAGCCCGUUAAAGGGUGAUGGCGUGCCUUUUGUAGAAUGAACCGGCGAGUUACUGUAUGGAGCGAGGUUAAGCAGGAUAUGCGGAGCCGAAGCGAAAGCGAGUCUUAAGAGGGCGCGAGUUGCAUGCAGUAGACCCGAAACCGGGUGAUCUAGCCAUGACCAGGUUGAAGUUGGGGUAAAACCCGAUGGAGGACCGAACCGACCCCCGUUGAAACGUUGGCGGAUGAGUUGUGGCUAGGGGUGAAAUUCCAAUCGAACCCGGAGAUAGCUGGUUCUCCCCGAAAUAGCUUUAGGGCUAGCGUCGAGAGAAGAGUUGCGUGAAGGUAGAGCACUGAAUAUGUGAUGGCCCCAUCUCGGGGUACUGAGCAUAAUCAAACUGCGAAUGUCACGAGAACAUGCUCGGCAGUCAGACAGCGGGUGAUAAGGUCCGUUGUCAAGAGGGAAACAGCCCAGACCAUCAGCUAAGGUCCCAAAAUGUAUGCUAAGUGGAAAAGGAUGUGGAGAUGUACAGACAACUAGGAGGUUGGCUCAGAAGCAGCCAUCCUUUAAAGAGUGCGUAACAGCUCACUAGUCGAAUGACUCUGCGCCGAUAAUUUACCGGGGCUAAGCAUACUACCGAAGCUAUGGAUCCCAAGGGAUGGUAGGGGAGCGUUCCAUGAACGGAGAAGUACGACCGAAAGGACGUGUGGAGAUCAUGGAAGAGAGAAUGCCGGUGUGAGUAGCGGAACGUGGGUGAGAAUCCCACGCACCGAAAACCCAAGGUUUCCAGAGGAAGGUUCGUCCGCUCUGGGUAAGUCGGGACCUAAGGCGAGGCCGAAAGGCGUAGUCGAUGGACAACAGGUAGAGAUUCCUGUACCCGUAUAUAUGUGAAGGAAUGACGGAGAGAGGAAGCUGCAGCCAGCGGCUGGAAGAGCUGGUGCAAGCGAGAUAUCGGGAUGGCAGGCAAAUCCACCAUCCGAAACGAGAAGGCGUGAAGCGUACGGAAAGCUACGGCGAGUACGGAAGGCAGUGGAGGAACUUCCAAGAAAAGUUUCUAACGUUAAGUAUAUAUGGCCCGUACCGAAAAUGGACACACAUGGGUGAGGAGAGAAUCCUAAGGUGAGCGAGAGAACUAUAGCUAAGGAACUCUGCAAAAUGACUCCGUAACUUAGGGAGAAGGAGUGCUCAUAGAGAUAUGAGCCGCAGUGAAACGGCCCAAGCGACUGUUUACCAAAAACACAGCUCUCUGCUAAGCCGCAAGGCGAAGUAUAGGGGGUGACGCCUGCCCGGUGCUGGAAGGUUAAGGGGAGGGGUUAACGCAAGUGAAGCCCUGAACUGAAGCCCCAGUAAACGGCGGCCGUAACUAUAACGGUCCUAAGGUAGCGAAAUUCCUUGUCAGGUAAGUUCUGACCCGCACGAAAGGCGUAAUGAUUUGGGCACUGUCUCAACAGCCCGCCCGGCGAAAUUGUAGUACUGGUGAAGAUGCCAGUUACCCGCAACUAGACGGAAAGACCCCAUGGAGCUUUACUGCAGCUUAAUACUGGAAUUCGGUAAUUCAUGUACAGGAUAUGGAUGGGUUGGCUAUGCCUUCCACGAAUUGACGGAAUGAAUUAUAAAGCAUUACGAAUAGGAUCGAGACUAAUGAGACUGCGAAAUAAGGUCUUAUCAAUGGCAAGAGUUCUUCGGGUUGGCCUAAAGAGUCUAGGUUUAGGUAAAUCCCCAGUAAGACGGCUAUCAAUAAUAAGGUGGUAGUCAUAUUGGCAACCAGACUGUUUUUGAGCCAGCCUCCGAUCACGAUCUUUUUAUUCAUCGCUAAAUUCUGUCCGAUCAGCGGGGUAAGAUUAUAGGAGAAUCCAGUUCCCAUUAUGAUAAACGCAUUUAUUACAUUAUUGACGAACGAUGCCGCCGCUAGUUCCUCCGUACUGUGCUGUCCCACCAUGAUGGUGUCUGCCAAUCCGGUGAUGAUAGCCCCCAAUUGUCCGAUGAUGAUAGGUACCCCUAGCAUUACUAAGGAUUUAUAAUAUUGUUUGUAACCCGCUAUUCUAUUGUACAUAUGUAUUGUUCUGUUAUUAAUGAUGGUGUAAAAAUCCUUGAUCGUAUAUACCGGAUAUACGAUAGAGUUGUUCUAAAUGAAAAUGUAAAGAUAAAUUAGAAGGAAUAGGGUGCGGAUACGGUAGAGCCUCUCGUAGUCCAAUGGACGAACAAGAUGCUUUUAGUCGUAAAAAAAUAAUAUU